Molecule: ribosomal RNA, 405 nt
Filed under: uncultured Eubacteriales bacterium
Lineage: Bacteria; Bacillati; Bacillota; Clostridia; Eubacteriales
Description: uncultured Clostridiales bacterium partial 16S ribosomal RNA
Rfam family: Bacterial small subunit ribosomal RNA
Source: RNAcentral
UGGGGAAUAUUGGGCAAUGGGCGAAAGCCUGACCCAGCAACGCCGCGUGAAGGAAGAAGGUCUUCGGAUUGUAAACUUCUGUCAUUGGGGACGAAACAAAUGACGGUACCCAAGGAGGAAGCCCCGGCUAACUACGUGCCAGCAGCCGCGGUAAUACGUAGGGGGCGAGCGUUGUCCGGAAUUACUGGGCGUAAAGGGUGCGUAGGCGGCAAUACAAGUCCAUUGUGAAAAGCCCGGGCUUAACCUGGGAGGUGCAGUGGAAACUGUAUAGCUUGAGUGCAGGAGAGGAAAGUGGAAUUCCUAGUGUAGCGGUGAAAUGCGUAGAUAUUAGGAGGAACACCAGUGGCGAAGGCGACUUUCUGGACUGUAACUGACGCUGAGGCACGAAAGCGUGGGGAGCAAACA